GACAGAGGGUGCAAACGUUGUUCGGAAUUACUGGGCGUAAAGCGCGUGUAGGCUGCUUCGCAAGUCGGGUGUGAAAGCCCUGGGCUCAACCUAGGAAGUGCACUCGAAACUGCGAAGCUGGAGUCCUGGAGAGGAAGGCGGAAUUCUCGGUGUAGAGGUGAAAUUCGUAGAUAUCGAGAGGAACACCGGUGGCGAAGGCGGCCUUCUGGACAGUGACUGACGCUGAGACGCGAAAGCGUGGGGAGCAAACGGG
This 253-nucleotide ribosomal RNA is filed under the name uncultured bacterium. RNAcentral's name for it is "partial 16S ribosomal RNA". It matches the Rfam family "Bacterial small subunit ribosomal RNA", at positions 524 to 776 of the family's 1533-position model. The record is from RNAcentral.